GGUGGUGCAUGGAGCGUUUAAGUUUUAAAUUCCAGAAUGACGGUAAUAGCAUUCAUGCCGCCUUCAUGACUUUGAUCUCAUGUAAGCUUCCUGACAACCGUUCGAGGCAGAUCCUAUUAUUAUCCCCAUGGAAGAUGGGGAAACUGAGGCCCGGGGAGAUGUAGUGCCUGGGUCAGGGCCACACGGCUCUUACGGAGCAAGGUCAGGACGGCUGGCUGUAGAGCCUGUGCCUUUGAUUUCCCUUUCAUUCAACCCCUCAGGUCCUUGAAGAGGGCACGCACUGCACAGCACAGGACUUCUCUUCCUGGGGCUGCCGUAACAAAAUGCCACAAGCAGAAGUGGCUUGCACAACAGAACUUGAUUCUCUCACAGCUCUGGAGGCUUAAAAGUCUGAAACCAAGGUCCUGGCAAGGUUGGUUCCUUCUGAAGCCUCUGAGGGAAGAUCCGUCUCACGCCUCCUCCCCUUGCUUCUGUUGUUGCCCUCCGUCCUCGACCCUCCUUGCCUCGUGAAAGCCUCUAGCCUCACACUUUGCCUGUGUCUCUUCUCUGUGUCCAUAUCUCCCACUAUUCAGAAAAAUAGCAGCCAUCGGGUUGAGGCCCACCCGAAUCAAGUAUGACCUCGUCUUAACUCGAUUUCAUCUGUUGAAGACCGUGUUUCCAAACAAGGUUACACUCAUGGCGACUGGAGGCUAGGACCUGAGCGUAUGUUUUUGUUGGGACACAAUGCAGCUUCCAGCCGUAUAUAAGUUAAUUCUUCAGCAGUACACAAGCUCUUGCCCUCUGCCACGCCUUGUCCUUUCUGAGGGGGGACGGCUGUCAUCGCUUCCUUACGCCAUCAUUGUAGGAAUUACCCAUGAACCACAGUGUCCAAGUUAUCCACCAGUUCUUGUAUCCCCCAGAACCUUCCAGGAUGUAUUGUGUAUGCUGAGUGCUCAGUGAAUAGCUCUUGAAUCUAAUGACCAAGGAAUCUGCCAUUGGUUGUAUUAAUUUUCCCUAACAUCCUUUUUUUGGGGAGGUGGGGGGCAAUUUUUUUCCCUUAAGCCCCAGAAAAACGUAGGCUUUUGUUUAGGAGAUGUUGGGAUUUUUUCUUAGAUGGGAGCUUCAAGCUUUACUUGCAUCUGUUUACAAACUGCUGAAACAAAGCUCUCGACUGCCUCAUAAUGUCUUUCUUAAUCCCAUUCUUUUUGGGUAAAAAUAGUAUUAAUAUAUGCAUUGUAAAUCGCUGGCAGCUCAGUUCGAAAUGUGUCUUUGUGCUCACUCUGUACUAUUAAGUAUUCCCCUGUGGUGUUGCUCAGGGUAAGGAAAGAUGACACUCUAUUUUUCUGACAUUUAAUGAAGCCUGGUGUUUUUUACAUGCAGUAUUUAAUUUUAAAAAGGUGAAGUACAGCUUAAUGAAAUGGGAACUUGUGAAUUCAAUGAUGGAAAAUGUGAAGGGCAGGAUACUUGGAUGCAUUCUAAAAGGAAAUGCCUUUUUCAAUAUAAAAGUGUGGCUUUUAAUCACUCGGUAGACAAGAUGCAGACACUUGAGUGGUCAGGAUCCCUUAGGCACAUUUCUGUGGCACUUAGGUGCAGUGAAGCAGCUAGACGUUGAGAGGAUCAUUCUCGGUCUCAUUGGAGGGCUUGCUGUGUGUCCGACUUGGUUCCCAUUGCUCAAUAUGGAUUGACCCAUUAAUCCCAGGACCCCCUCAUGGAGUAGACAGCCCUUUUUUAUAAAAUUGGGAUGCAAUUCACAUGACAUAAAAUGAACCAUUUUAUUUUAUUUCAUUUUUU
RNAcentral lists this long non-coding RNA (1770 nucleotides) under Sus scrofa (pig). RNAcentral describes it as "lncRNA (ENSSSCG00005025167.1)". Lineage: Eukaryota; Metazoa; Chordata; Mammalia; Artiodactyla; Suidae. The record is from RNAcentral.